RNAcentral lists this ribosomal RNA (253 nucleotides) under uncultured bacterium. Its description in RNAcentral is "partial 16S ribosomal RNA". It matches the Rfam family "Archaeal small subunit ribosomal RNA", at positions 474 to 727 of the family's 1478-position model. The record is from RNAcentral.
UACCUGCAGCCCGAGUGGUGGCCGUUAUUAUUGGGCCUAAAACGUCCGUAGCCGGUUUGGUAGAUGCCUGUGUAAAUCGAACGGCUUAACCGUUCGAACUGCGGGUAGACCGCCAGACUUGGGGCCGGGAGAGUCACGAAGUACUCCGGGGGUAGAGGUGAAAUUCUGUAAUCCUCGGGGGACUACCGGUGGCGAAGGCGUCGUGAUAGAACGGCUCCGACGGUGAGGGACGAAGCCCUGGGGCGCAAACCGG